AGAGGAAGUAAAAGUCGUAACAAGGUUUCCGUAGGUGAACCUGCGGAAGGAUCAUUAAUGAAUUAAUCGACAGGAUUGUCGCUGGCCUUUACUGGCAUGUGCACGUCUUGCUCAAUUCAUCCACUAUACCUCUGUGCACUCUUCAUAGGUUGGCUUAUAUAAAGAAUCGUUCGCAUGAAUGGUUUGGGCCUCUCUAUGCUUUAUACAAACAACUUCAGUUUUAGAAUGUUACUUGCGAAAUAACGCAUUAUAUACAACUUUCAGCAACGGAUCUCUUGGCUCUCGCAUCGAUGAAGAACGCAGCGAAAUGCGAUAAGUAAUGUGAAUUGCAGAAUUCAGUGAAUCAUCGAAUCUUUGAACGCACCUUGCGCUCUUUGGUAUUCCGAAGAGCAUGCCUGUUUGAGUGUCAUGUUUACCCUCAACCCCCUUGGAUUUUUUAUUCGAGUGCGGGUUGGAUGUGGAGGUUGCUGGAUUUUACUAUUCAGCUCCUCUUAAAUGUAUUAGUGUGAAUGUUACUGAACGUUCUCCAGUGUGAUAAUUAUCUGCGCUGUUGGACUUUGGUAUUUUAUAAGUUCACGCUUCUAACCGUCCGUAAGGACAAUACACUUUACGUUUGACCUCAAAUCAGGUAGGACUACCCGCUGAACUUAAGCAUAUCAAU
This is a ribosomal RNA of 661 nucleotides. The stretch from base 256 to 409 matches the Rfam family "5.8S ribosomal RNA".